AGCUGCGCGGUGUGCACAGAGCCAACUAUUCUUUUUCCUUUUACUAAAGAAUACCAUGUGCUCACUGCAUUCAGUGACAUACGCCAAUUAUUGACAAAAUGAUUGGUGCUUCAAGUU
RNAcentral lists this small nuclear RNA (117 nucleotides) under Nelumbo nucifera (sacred lotus). Its description in RNAcentral is "U5 spliceosomal RNA". It matches the Rfam family "U5 spliceosomal RNA". Rfam says of the family: U5 RNA is a component of both types of known spliceosome. The precise function of this molecule is unknown, though it is known that the 5' loop is required for splice site selection and p220 binding, and that both the 3' stem-loop and the Sm site are important for Sm protein binding and cap methylation. Lineage: Eukaryota; Viridiplantae; Streptophyta; Magnoliopsida; Proteales; Nelumbonaceae. The record is from Rfam by way of RNAcentral.